CCUACGGGAGGCAGCAGUGGGGAAUAUUGGACAAUGGGCGAAAGCCUGAUCCAGCCAUGCCGCGUGUGUGAAGAAGGCCUUUUGGUUGUAAAGCACUUUAAGUGGGGAGGAAAAGCUUAUGGUUAAUACCCAUAAGCCCUGACGUUACCCACAGAAUAAGCACCGGCUAACUCUGUGCCAGCAGCCGCGGUAAU
This 194-nucleotide ribosomal RNA is filed under the name uncultured Moraxella sp. RNAcentral describes it as "partial 16S ribosomal RNA". It matches the Rfam family "Bacterial small subunit ribosomal RNA", at positions 338 to 524 of the family's 1533-position model. The record is from RNAcentral. Lineage: Bacteria; Pseudomonadati; Pseudomonadota; Gammaproteobacteria; Moraxellales; Moraxellaceae.